GAUGAACGCUAGCGAUAGGCUUAACACAUGCAAGUCGAGGGGCAGCACAAGGUAGCUUGCUAUCUGGGUGGCGACCGGCGCACGGGUGCGUAACGCGUAUGCAACUUGCCCUAUACAGGAGGAUAACCCGUCGAAAGACGGACUAAUACUGCGUAUGCUCACAACUUGGCAUCAAGUGGUGAGGAAAGAAAUUCGGUAUAGGAUGGGCAUGCGUCCCAUUAGCUUGUUGGUGAGGUAACGGCUCACCAAGGCAACGAUGGGUAGGGGAACUGAGAGGUUUAUCCCCCACACUGGUACUGAGACACGGACCAGACUCCUACGGGAGGCAGCAGUGAGGAAUAUUGGUCAAUGGGCGCGAGCCUGAACCAGCCAAGUCGCGUGAAGGAUGACUGUCUUAUGGAUUGUAAACUUCUUUUAUACGGGAAUAACAAGAGUCACGUGUGACUCCCUGCAUGUACCGUAUGAAUAAGCAUCGGCUAACUCCGUG
RNAcentral lists this ribosomal RNA (487 nucleotides) under uncultured bacterium. RNAcentral's name for it is "partial 16S ribosomal RNA". It matches the Rfam family "Bacterial small subunit ribosomal RNA", at positions 28 to 507 of the family's 1533-position model. The record is from RNAcentral.